AUAUAACUCAGCUUGUAUGUGUGGUAGGUGAAUGUAGCUUGCGUGGUAGUUAGUGUGGUAGUUGACCUUUAUUCCUACCAAAAUUCGUGUUCCUAACUUGAGUGUGGUAGGAGGUAUAGCAGGUCAAAGUUAGGGGAGUGAAAAAUUAUGUUUAUAUUUUUCUGAAUGUCAUAACACUUAACAUUUUUGUAUAUAACUCAGCUUGUAUGUGUGGUAGGUGGAUGUAGCUUGCGUGGUAGUUAGUGUGGUAGUUGACCUUUAUUCCUACUAAAAUUCGUGUUCCUAACUCCAAUGUGGCAGCAGUUAUAGUGGUACGAAGUUAGGCAUUUCAAAAUUUUCCAAUCCUCCCAUUUUCAUUCAACCAGCUGUAACAUUUUUCCCUACCAUUCAACCGGCGUGCAUGGUAGAUGGAUGGGCCUUGGUGGGCUGGUAGACACACCCUUUGGCUAUCCUAUCAUACUCACAGGUCUGUAAUUACCUGGUUCAUUUGUAUCAGCCUUCUUAUAGAUGGGUGUAAUGUUGGCCAGUCUUCAUGUAACUCACUGGUCUGCAAUAUCUUCCUGAGUGUCCUUCCCCUCUUUUAUCACCCGUGGGCCUGGAGUGCCAGGCAGUGUUAACAGUGCCACAGACAGUGUUAUGUGAUGCAAGACAGAUUAGUUACCCAGUGUUAGGCUGUCUUGUUACCUGACCUGCCUACCCCUCUCCUGUGACAUGGGGUCAGGUGUUAUGCAGUGCUAUGUGAUGCCAGGCAGUGUUCAUAGUGGCAUAGAUUUGUGUGGUGCCAGAAUCAGUGUGAUGCCAGUCAUUGGUGCCAGGGACGGUAUAUGUAUAGAAUAACACCCAGGUGACCCUAGGACAAAGCCUUAUUAUUCUCCCUCACUCCCCUCAAUGUUACCAGCUUACCGUAGGCAUAACAUUGUAUCUUUCUGUUUCUGGCCCAUAAAUAUUGCAAAAAAGAGCAUCAGUAAUUACCGAUGUUAACAAUAAUUAUAAAUGCAUAUUGUUAUCUUUAUGGGGCGAUAGUUUGGGGUCAGAAAAGACAAUACGCCAAGUACUACUAAGGGCUGGUAACCCUAAACUACCACUUGAGCCAGCUAAACGUAAUAUAUGGAGGAGAAAAGAGAAUAAAUGAACCCGUGGACAUACCCACAACUCCUGUGAAAGCCUUGUCAAAUAUGUGUAGGCCUACUUGUGUGCCAACAUAUGUAAGAGCAUGGGCCUAACUUUUCUUCUUCCUCCUCAGGUUUUGGGCGCCCAGCCGUACACGUGAACUAACAGUCUUGGCUUCAGGGCAGGUCGCUAAAAUGGAGUGUCGAUGAUUUGAUUGAGGCAGUAUUCCUCGGCAAAGUGCAUGACAGCUUUUGCCUGGGUCCUCAUGUCUUCCGCUCCUCCAUACACACACUCCAAAUUCCAGUCUAUUAGCGGAAAGUUUAAGUCUCCAAGGCAGUGCCAGUGUUUGGAGUGCCACUGUGCCUGGCCGUCCAGCGCUGCCCGGCACACGAUGGCAUCCAGCUGCCCACCAUUGUCAGGGAGUGCAUUGACCAGAUAGAGGUUUGCAGUGAGAACUGACGGACGAUGGCCGGAGCCAGAGCCGAGGCUGACUCUAGACGGGAGAUGGCAGAGUGAACAUGACCCCGAACUGUGGCGUUGAGGACUUCCUGAUGGAGGUUAAGCUGACGUCUCUCUUCCGCCAAUAGAGUGUAGAGAUGGGAGAUUUUCCCGUGUAUGACGUCUAUCUGGGCCUGACUGGCCGUACCAGAAAGGAGGUGCAAGCGAGCCAAUGAAAUCAACGGCUCCUCGCCGCUGGGGAGUCCGAAACGGGCUCUCAUCCCUACCACUCCUAGCUGACAGGAAGUUGUUGAGAUCCUUGAACAAUUUUGCAAAUUCAGUGUGGAAGGAGUCUAGAGUCCGCCUCAGCAGCCCAACAGUAGGGACUGAUUGAUUCAUAUGGUCAAUUGUGUGUGUGUGUAUUUACCUAAUUGUAUUUACCUAGUUGUGACAUACGGGAGAAGAUCUACGCUCAUGCUGUCCGGUCUCCAUAUCCUCUCUUAUCCAACUUUUCCUUAAUAUCCUGAAUGUUUCUUGCACAAACCACCUCCUCCUCCAGUCCGUUCCACAGCUUCUGUUUGGGAAGCUAAACUUUUUCACAUCUCACCUACACGUGGUCGCCCUAAACUUCUUUCCAUGUCCUCUCGUUUCUCUCUCGCUCCACACACACACACACAC
Molecule: long non-coding RNA, 2226 nt
Organism: Eriocheir sinensis (Chinese mitten crab)
Lineage: Eukaryota; Metazoa; Arthropoda; Malacostraca; Decapoda; Varunidae
Exons: 4
Source: RefSeq, a predicted model, not a curated record